GGGCGUUGAAUUAUACGUUAGCGCUUUGGUUGAGACCCUGAUUUCCUUCUGAUCCCGACACACAUACAAACACAAACACACACAGCGCUCUGACAGACUGACAGAGGACGGACGGACGGAGGGACGGACGAAACAAGCAGGAACAACAAAGAAAGAAGAAAGAAGGUAAAAGAAAGCUCAAAGAAGCGAAGCUGAGAAAGCAAAGGAAGGGAAGAAGAGCAGGAAUCAGCAGGGAGAAAGAGGAUGUUAUGCAGUGUCCUGGCUGCUGGACAUUGCUGAAGAAGCCUGUAUGGGCAGUAACAGUGAGCCCUUCCUCUUCAUAUGACACCGACAACAGCUGCUGCUUCGUCCCCGUCUGUCCAUGUGUGGAGGCAGUUGGCCGGUGCUGUGUGCGGUGUGCUGUGUUUAAGCGAAACCACCAACAAAAUCCCAAACCAGUCAAAGCACUUCCCUCAGAGAAACACCUCAGGAAACAUUUUUCAUUUCAUUUCGUUGAUCAGCUGGAUUUUUAGCAAGUGAACAGGUUUCCCCAGUUUGUCAAGAAAAGUAGAACCUCAACACUCACACAAAUGGCCCCCAAGAAGAAGGCCUCCCGUCAGAAGAAGCCUGCCGCGGAAACCACCCCUCAGGUCGCCAUGGAGACCCUCCCAAUCCAGCUGAAGGUGGAGAGCCGUGGUGACGGUGUGGUGGUGGUGGAGGGCGGGAUGAAGAAGAUCGAGCAGAUGGCGGCGCUGGACAUCGCUCAGCUCAACAGCCUCAACCUGCCGCUGCCGCCGCCGGUCAUCAAGCCCGGAGAGAGAGGCCUCGGCCUGGGCAGCGAGCUGACGCGGCCCCUGCACGGCAACGCCCUGCUGGAGGAGCUCAGCAAGAUGCGGCAGGAGAAGUUCCUCACUGAUCUGGAGUUGGCCUGUAAGACGAAGGCCUUCGACGUCCACAAGCUUGUCAUCUCCUCCGUCAGUCAGUACUUCAGAGAGAUUUUGGCUAAAGACCCGGGCAUGAAGCGCCUGGAGCUCCCCUCCCUCUCACCUUUAGGCCUCGCUAACGUCAUCACCUUCGCCUACCUGGGUCGCGUCCACAUGUCCCUCUACACCAUCGGUUGCACCGUCUCUGCCGCCGCCACCCUGCAGAUCUCUCAGCUCCUCAAGAUGUGCAUGGACUUCCUGCUGGCCGAGCUCAACGUGCAGACCUGCGUCUACAUCUGGAACAUCGCCGCCGCCUACGGCCUGAGGCCGGUGUGCGAUGCCGCCCGCCGCUUCGUCCUGGAGAACUUUGUGCAGUUCGCCGACACGCCGCUGUUCAACCAGCUGACCCUGGAGCAGAUCUCCGCCUUCCUGCAGGACGACUCGCUGCUGUUGCCUUCAGAGGUCACAGCCUUCCAGCUGGCCAUGAGGUGGCUUGACUUCGACGCCUCUCGUCAGGGCCACGCCACAGAGCUGCUGUCUCACAUCCGCUUUGAGACGAUCCCGGCCAGCGAGCUCGUGAGCCAGAUCCAGCCGGUGCCCCGCAUGAUGAUGGACCCUCACUGCCACCGCCUGCUGGUGGACGCCAUGAACUACCACCUGCUGCCCUACCAGCAGAACACCCUGCAGUCCCGACGCACACAGGUCCGCGCCAGUCAGCAGACCCUGCUCACCGUCGGGGGUCGACCAUCGCUCACCGAGAGAGCUCUCAGCCGCGAGGUGCUGUGGCGAGACCCUCGGGAAGGAGGAGCCACCUGGCGUCACCUCACCCAGCUGCCGGCGAAGAGCUUCAACCAGUGUGUGGCUGUGAUGGACGGCUUCCUGUACGUGGCUGGAGGAGAGGACCAGAACGACGCCCGCAACCAGGCCAAGCACGCCGUCAGCACCCUGAGCAGAUAUGAUCCUCGCUUCAACACCUGGCUCCACCUGGCCAGCAUGCGUCAGCGCCGCACCCACUUCUCUCUGACGGCCAGCGGCGGCCGCCUGUUCGCCAUCGGCGGCCGCAACGUUGAGGGUCUGCUGGCCACCACCGAGAGUUACCUGCCCUCCUCCAACACCUGGCAGAUGCGUGCCCCCAUGGAGGUGCCCCGCUGCUGCCACUCCAGCGCCACCCUGCCCUCCGGAGACAUCCUGGUGACCGGCGGGUACAUCAACUGCGCCUACUCCCGCUCCGUGGCAUGCUAUAACGUGGACGCCGACACGUGGAGCGAGAAGGCCUCCAUGGAGACACCGCGCGGCUGGCACUGCUCCGCCGCCCUCGGAGGGAAGGUGUAUGUGGUGGGAGGAAGCCAGCUGGGGCCCGGCGGCGAGCGGGUGGAUGUGCUCUCCGUGGAGGUCUUCUCCCUGGAGAGCGGCGCCUGGAGCCGGGCCGCCCCUCUCCUUCUCGGUGUGAGCACCGCCGGUCUGUCCCCGCUGGCCGACAAGCUGUACCUGCUGGGAGGCUGGAACGAGGCAGAGAAGCGCUACAAGGCGGCCGUCCAGAAGUACGACCCGGCCACAGACAGCUGGUCCAUGGCCGAGGAUCUGCCCGAGCCCACCGUGGGAGUGUCCUGCUGCACCCUGAGCCUGCCGCCACGCCACACACCGCGCCGCCAGCAGCACCGCAACACCCCAGCCCACGAAGAACAGCAGCAGGCCGGGAAGAACCGGAGCAGAGAGAGCAGCAUGGCUCCUUCCCAAACCAUCACAGCAUAGAGAAACAUGCAUGGGAGAGACUAGAAGAGGAGGGCUGGUUAAACCGCUGGACAACAUCUGGAUCAUGUCUGCUCUUUAUUCUGUAUAUAUAUAUAUAUAUAUAUAUAUAUAUAUAUAUAGAGUGUGUUAUAUCCAGUGUAUGUGGAAAAAUUCACCUACUUACUUACUUACUAAAAAUGUAUUUCAGUCUGCAAUUAAUCCCACAAAUAAUGUGGAUAAAGAAAAACAGACAACAGAAAAUACAACAAACUUUAAAACAGUACCAUAGAAAACAAACCAGCAGAAACAUUUUUUCUUCCGAGCAUUAAAAGUAAGUAAAAUAUAUUCUGGAAAUAUUAAAAUAAAUAUAUUUUAAAUAUAUACAAAAAUCUAACAUGAUUAUGGAGAAUUUGAUUGGACAACAUUUUGCAUAUUUUCCAUUGAUUUACACAAUUUAGAUUUAGCACUGGUGCUUAAUCCUUUUUGAGGUGAUUUUAGGGUUUCUAAAAAAACAUUUUUACUUCACAUUAGACUUUCAUUCUUAUAAUUACUAGAGAUGAAGAGAAAGAUGCUAAUUUGAUUGCCCAGGUCGUGCAAGAAAAGAAAAGAGAGCUUGCAUGAUCCAAAGUGGUCUCAGAAAGUUUAACAUUGAUGGAAACUGAGAAGAAAAGGUAGAUAAGGGAUGAAUUGUAGAGCGGAACAGGUGGAGGUAGAGAGGUGAUGGGUGGAGGAGGAUGAUGGAAAGAAGGGAACAGUGGCUGUCUGCGUUUGAGCGGGUUGAAAAAGUUAAAACCUCACUGUGAAUCCCCUGGCAGUUUGUGUACAAAGAUGUCUCUAAGCUGUGUGUGUGUGUGUGUGUGUGUGUGUGUUUUAACUGUGAAAAUAAAUGUGAAUGUGUGUGUGUGUGUGUGUGUGUGUGUGUGUGUGUGUGUUUUAACUGUGAAAAUAAAUGUGGUGUGUGUAUGUGGUUUAACUGUAAAAAUAAAUAUGAAUGUGUGUGUGUGUGUGUGAGUGUGUGUGUGUUCACGUCUGACAGAGGAGUGAUUGACAGCAGUGUUUGGCUGGAACAGGAAAAUGAGACAAUUCUGACAAAAACUUUUGAGAUUUCUCACCAGCAAAGUCUAAAUAUUUCUCAUGAGGAUCCAAGCAGCUCAGCAAUAAACCAACCUGUUUGAUUUAUUUAACGGAUAUCUGUCAGAAGUAGUGUAGCUCAAUUGUGAUAAAAGUAUUUAUAGAUUUAGUAAAUAUGUAUUUUAUAAGUGCAAUGGAGUAAAAGGAUUUAGAGUGAACACGAGGAAGGCGGGUGAACUCAACACAGGUGAGAUUUCUUGAUUGGAAGAAACAUCUUAAAAGAAUGCAUAAAAAUCUGCAAAAUACAGAUAAAAAUCUGACAAAAAAAAAAUCCACCCAAGCCUCACCCAUGUUUGUGUAUUUGCCGUCCUCAGACGUUGUCUAAUUCUUACUGAAACUAAGACAAACCAACUGAAGAACCAGUGAGACUCCAGCAGGUGGAAAGAGUAACCGCUUAAAAGUGGCAACUGCAUAUUGAGUUAUUGAUAAAUAUGAUUUAUCAGUAGAUGCAAUGAGGCUGAUCUGGCUCAUUUGAUUGGAUGAAUCCCUCUCUAUUAGUGGACGAGCUCUGUGCUGGUGGUUUCACUGAAUAAAGCCAAUGUGAUCAAAACAU
Perca fluviatilis (European perch) is the source of this 4317-nucleotide RNA transcript. It is a transcript of the gene named kelch-like family member 43, with no coding region annotated. Lineage: Eukaryota; Metazoa; Chordata; Actinopteri; Perciformes; Percidae. The transcript is spliced from 9 exons. The record is from RefSeq and is a predicted model, not a curated record.